AAAAAUUGAAAUUUUAAAAUUACAAACCGAAUCCGAUCCGAAAAACCGAAACCGAAAUUAAAUUUCGAUUUGAUUUUUUAAUUUUUUCGGUUUAAACCAAAAUAUGUCCACCCCUAGGUGGAAUUGAACACAUGCACACUCUCUCUGUCUAUAUAUCUUUUUUUUUUUUUUUUUUUUUUUUUGUAAUAUAUGUGUUGUUAUUUCUUAGUAGGUUUGUUUCCUAAUAAGAACAUUAUCUAUCUAUCUAUAAAAUAAAUUUAUUUUAAAUUUUUUAUUUCUCUAUUAGUUGCAUAUUUUUAUAAUUACAAAGUUUCAUAAUAUAUCUAAGCUCUUAAAUUUCAAAUGUCUUUUGUCUUCCUUGUAAAGUCCAAUAUCUAUAUGCUACAUUGAUUGAAAUAGAGAAAUAUUCAUGUUUUCACAAAAAUGAUUUGAAGAAUAACCUUUUUACAGAUUCAAUUUUUUUUUUUUUUUUUGUGUCUCUAUUUUCCCAGAUUCUUUCCUCGGUGGAUGACACAUGUCAUGCCUUAAAAUCAAUACUCUUUGAUUUAAUUAACUAAAUGAAGGUACUUAGCUAUGGUUAGGGGAUGCAUUCAAAUCUAGAAAUGAAGAUGAGUCGAUCCCCUUUUUACGUAUUUGUUUUGUAAAACGAGUCUAAUAUGUAAAUAUAUAUAAAAAAUUACAGAUUAAUAUUUGGGCCAUCUAGGAAACAAGGUACGUAAAUAAUGUAGAGCUAAUAUAUAUAUGUGUGUAAACAAUGAAUGGUAAUUAUGGGCUGAAGUUUUCUAUAUUAUCUAAUUUUUUCUAUAUUAUUUUAUGCUAAAAUGCAUAUAUAUCAUGUAGUAUAUGUUUGACUGUGAUGAUAUGGUAUACAUCUUUUAAAAAGAAAAAAGAAAAAAAGUGCAUACGUUGAUUAUUUUUGAUAAACUAAAUGACCAAAUGAUAUAUAUUGAUAUUUGAUAAUUAACUCAAUAUAUAAUACAAUAUCUUUAUUAGUCAGAUCUGAUAAGGAGUUCUUUAUGAUAUCCUUGGAGAAGUUAUCAAAGCUGGUGCGACAGUCAUUGGAAUCCCUGAUACUGUUGGUUGCAAUUUGCCUAGUGAAUAUGCACCAUUAAUUGCUGACAUAAAAGCCAAUACUCCAGGAAUUGAAGAUGUGCUACUGCCAACACCAUUGCGGGAUAAGACUAGUAGAUGUAACUAUCAAUGGCAUUGGUGAAAGAGCUGGAAAUGCUUCUUUUGAAGAGGUAGAGCACAGUGGCUUAAGCUGCAGCCACAUAAGGCCAUUGUUGGAGCUAAUGCAUUUUCUCACCAAAGUGGCAUUUUCUCAUCAAAGACUUAUUCGGUUUGAAUUGAUAGAUUGUAUAUAAGAUAAUAUAUUGUCUAUCUAGUGAUUGGUUAGCCUCUUGUCAUAACUGUUGAAUCUUAUCAAACACACAAUUUGCAGGAUCAUUGAAUUCGUUUCACUAGUCAGAAAGUAUAAUCACAUACGUAAACAAACUACACCAUAUUGAUUCACAGUCUAAAAUCGUACCCGAUACAAAAGAUUAUUUCAAACGUUGAUGGAGAUUGCUUUAAUCUUUACAGGAAUCUUCUUGCGGGAAUUCUUCACCCAAAAAAAAGAGAGUUUUGCAAAGAGAGAGAAAGAGGAAAAACAAAAAAAGUAUUUUUUUUCUUGCUUUUGACCUGUUAUCUUAUCUGAAGAGACAUAACUCUUCAAUAGAGACAUAACUAUUGAGAAGAAGCACAACUCUUCAAUAGAGACAUAACUCUUUCGAAGAGACAUAAUUCUUCAGUAGAAACAUAACUCUUCAGAUAGUCUUUUCCAACAGAUAUGUAUUUUCUCCCUAUCAGUUAUUAAUAUAAAUAAUAAUAAUAAUAUAUUAUUUAUCUCUUAAUAUGGAUCUGGGUUGACCUACAUGGGUGAACCAAUGCACUUUCCUUCAUCUCCCACUCACACAUAGUGGGUCAUCAAUUCUUAUUCCUAUUCUGUAAUAUUCAUACUCACUGACUAGACCGUGUAACCAGUGCUACUUCGAGAGCUUUGUUGCUAUACAUUUGUUAGGAAUGUACAAUAUCUCGAUCAAUGAAACUUAGAGUAGAUUAUGAUAUGCAGUACCCUAGAUCAUCUAUCACAUCCAUAUUUCUCAUCAUCUCUUUUUUGUUAAUUUUGAGUUCAUCAUUAUGUACUUUUCUCACAGACAAACAUAAAGGACAUCAAUGAACACAAUUAAUGUGAUAAUAUUAAAUGAUCUUCCUCAUCUCAAGAAUCACUUAAUCUCAACGUGGUAUAUUUUUCUAGAAAUGUCCCGCUAGAACGAAUCAACCAUGAUCUUUUGACAACAUACUAAGAUAGCAAACACCAAUUUAAAUCUCAAAAAAUUGAUUAAAGUCAUGAGGGUACAAUGUAAAAGAUUACUUAUAAUUUUCAGGGCUUCACACGAUAGCAAGGAGAGACUAAACUUGUACCGCCCUUAUGGAUCACUUUCUAGCAUACAUUCUUGGUAUGAAACAUGUAUCAUAGUAUUGACUCCUUUCCCACGGAGCAUAUGUCUUUUAUAAAGUUAAUAUUGUGCAGAUGAUGGUUUAGAUUACUCAUGUCUAAUUUGAAUUUACAAUUCUUUUCUAUCAUUUUAUUUUUCAGAACUCACAUCUGACAUUAGAAAUAGAUUAACUCAUCUUUUAAUCACAUAUGAUUAAACACAAUCUAACAAAUGACAUUCUAAUUAUAAAUUUUUAGCUCUCUUUAAUCAUCACUUUUGACAAUAAUAAGUUUAUAACUACCUCAUAUCUACUAUUUGUCACUUAGACAUUAGAGGCGAUUGUCUGUGUGAAUAAGCCAAUCUUUAUGUCUGUUUGACACACUUUUCAUCCUAAAAAAUUUAUGUACACCACAUAAAGAAAAAAUGAUAUGUGUAUAUGAACUAACAAGUUGAAAAAUUAAGCAUUAAUCAAUAUUAACCUCAAUAAUGUGAAAUUACAUAAACAUGAUUGAAAAAAUAAAACUAAGUCAACAUCUACGCAAAUUCAAUGACUUUAUAUGUUUUUCAUAAACAUCUUAUGCUAUUUUUGUUAAAGGAUCUGCUAUCAUUUGAUGCGUAGAUAUGUAUUUCACGUUCAUUUUCUUUUGUAUAACCAUGUCUUUCAUAAAAUUAUACUUUAUGUCAAUAUGUUUCGUCUUUCCAUGAUAUUUUAGAUUCUUUGUGUAAGUUAUUGCAGCCUAAUUAUCACAAUUGAUUGUGACAUGUUCAACAACAUUAUUAUAUACACCCAAGUGGAUCAAAAAAGUUUAAGACAAAUAACUUCUUGUACAAAGCUACAAAUUUAGCUUCCAUCGUAGAUAAAGGUAUACAUGACUGCUUCUUUCUACUCCAUAAAAUGAAGCCAUUGUUAACCAAGAAUGCAUAUCCAAAGGUGGACUUUCUCUCAUUUAUAUAUCCUCCCUAGUCAACAUCCUUUGAGUUGCAGAUUAUUUCUCUGAUAACAUAAGAAAUAAUCAACUGUGCCUUUAAGAUACCUCAAUAUUCUUUUAACUAUUUUUUAAUAUUGUGGUCCUGGAUCGGAUUGAUAUCUACUAACUAACCGAAUGACAUAACAGAUAUCAGUUCUAGUACACAUCAUAGCAUACAUCAGAUUUUGACUGUAUUGGCAUAAGGAACCAUUCUCAUUUGUUCCUUUUCUUGUGGAGUCUGAGGGCAUAUCUUUUGGUUUAAAGUUUCAUUUUUAAAAACUGAAGUGUCUAUCGAUUUGCAGUCCUGCAUAUUAAAGCAUUCAAGAACUUUCUUAAUGUAAGGUUCUUGCAAAAGAGACAAUAAUUUGUUCGAAUGAUCUCUUGAAAUCUUAACUCCAAGAAUAUAUGACGCUUCACCCAUAUAUUUCAUCUCAAAAGUAGAUGAUAACCACUCUUUUAUUUCUUUUACAUAUUAGAUGUCAC
Long non-coding RNA from Capsicum annuum, 3928 nucleotides. RefSeq lists it as uncharacterized. Lineage: Eukaryota; Viridiplantae; Streptophyta; Magnoliopsida; Solanales; Solanaceae. The record is from RefSeq and is a predicted model, not a curated record. The transcript has 3 exons.